AGCUCCAAUAGCGUAUAUUAAAGUUGUUGCGGUUAAAAAGCUCGUAGUUGGAUUUCUGCCGAGGACGACCGAUCGACCCAUACGGGUUUGAAUCAGGUUUGACCGAGGCAUCCUCUUGGAAGACGUAUUGCACUUUACUGGGUAAUACGGAGUCCAAGACUUUUACUUUGAGGAAAUUAGAGUGUUUCAAGCAGGCAAUCGCCGUGAAUACAUUAGCAUGGAAUAAUAAUAUAGGACUUCGGUUCUAUUUUGUUGGUUUCUGGAACUGAAGUAAUGAUUAAUAGGGACAGUCGGGGGCAUACGUACUUAACAGUCAGAGGUGAAAUUCUUGGAUUUGUUAAAGACGAACUACUGCGAAAGCAUUUGCCAAGGAUGUUUUCA
Molecule: ribosomal RNA, 381 nt
Filed under: uncultured eukaryote
Lineage: Eukaryota
Description: SSU rRNA
Rfam family: Eukaryotic small subunit ribosomal RNA
Source: RNAcentral